GACGAACGCUGGCGGCGUGCUUAACACAUGCAAGUCGAACGAUGAUGCCCAGCUUGCUGGGUGGAUUAGUGGCGAACGGGUGAGUAACACGUGAGUAACCUGCCCCUGACUCUGGGAUAAGCGUUGGAAACGACGUCUAAUACUGGAUAUGACUGCCGGCCGCAUGGUCUGGUGGUGGAAAGAUUUUUUGGUUGGGGAUGGACUCGCGGCCUAUCAGCUUGUUGGUGAGGUAAUGGCUCACCAAGGCGACGACGGGUAGCCGGCCUGAGAGGGUGACCGGCCACACUGGGACUGAGACACGGCCCAGACUCCUACGGGGGCAGCAGUGGGGAAUAUUGCACAAUGGGCGAAAGCCUGAUGCAGCAACGCCGCGUGAGGGAUGACGGCCUUCGGGUUGUAAACCUCUUUUAGUAGGGAAGAAGCGUAAGUGACGGUACCUGCAGAAAAAGCACCGGCUAACUACGUGCCAGCAGCAGCCGCCG
Molecule: ribosomal RNA, 482 nt
Filed under: uncultured bacterium
Lineage: Bacteria
Description: partial 16S ribosomal RNA
Rfam family: Bacterial small subunit ribosomal RNA
Source: RNAcentral